This 266-nucleotide unclassified non-coding RNA is filed under the name uncultured fungus. Its description in RNAcentral is "partial contains small subunit ribosomal RNA, internal transcribed spacer 1, and 5.8S ribosomal RNA". The stretch from base 1 to 73 matches the Rfam family "Eukaryotic small subunit ribosomal RNA", at positions 1759 to 1831 of the family's 1831-position model. The record is from RNAcentral. Lineage: Eukaryota; Fungi.
GCAAACUUGGUCAUUUAGAGGAAGUAAAAGUCGUAACAAGGUUUCCGUAGGUGAACCUGCGGAAGGAUCAUUAAUAGUUUAGGGUACUCGGUGCCCAAACUUCAACCCUAUGAUUUACCAACUUUGUUUCUUUGCCGGCUUAACAACCCGGCAAAAGAAUUCUCAAACUCAUUGAUAAACAGUUGCAAAUCUGAAUAUUUGAUUAAAUCAAAAGCAAAACUUUCAACAACGGAUCUCUUGGUUCUGGCAUCGAUGAAGAACGCAGC